UUUAGUAUUAAAGGGGUUCUUUAAAUUAAAAAAAUUUGGCGGUAUUUAAUUCUUAUUAGAGGAAUUUGUUAUUUAAUCGAUGGUCCCCGAGAAUCUUUCCUUAUUUUGUAUUUCAGCUUAUAUAUCGUUGUCUUCAGAUUACAUUAAUAGAUGUUUUCAAAAAAAAUUUUUUAAGUCAAAUCAAGGUGUAGUUUAUAUUAAGGUUAUUAUGAAUUACAUUAAAUGUAUUUAUAUGAAUGUUAUUUUGUAAUAGAUAAUUGAAAGUGGAUUUGAUUGUAAAUUUUAUUUAUUAUAUAUUUUUGAAAAAGUUUUAUAUAUGU
RNAcentral lists this ribosomal RNA (320 nucleotides) under Cormocephalus hartmeyeri. Its description in RNAcentral is "partial small subunit ribosomal RNA". The record is from RNAcentral. Lineage: Eukaryota; Metazoa; Arthropoda; Chilopoda; Scolopendromorpha; Scolopendridae.